CGGCAACGUUCUUCGGUUAAGGUCAAACAAAUCAAACCACGGCCAAAACGUGCCAUAAAAUUGAUAGCCUCGGGCGUCACCUUUUCAGCCGCCAUGAUCA
RNAcentral lists this non-coding RNA (100 nucleotides) under Methylophaga thiooxydans. Lineage: Bacteria; Pseudomonadati; Pseudomonadota; Gammaproteobacteria; Thiotrichales; Piscirickettsiaceae. The record is from RNAcentral.